RNAcentral lists this long non-coding RNA (1418 nucleotides) under Theobroma cacao (cacao). RNAcentral's name for it is "long non-coding RNA (TCAC_LNC001859)". Lineage: Eukaryota; Viridiplantae; Streptophyta; Magnoliopsida; Malvales; Malvaceae. The record is from RNAcentral.
AAUUUUCGUAUACACGUAAACAUAUUUUUAGUUUGAAAAACACAACCGUUUCUUAGCGUUAGCGGAGUUCAUCAUCACAAGGUGGUUCGGCGUGACGUGAACUCUAACCAUACCUCAGGAGAUACCCUAUGCGCCUCUCCGACCGAGGUACGUAUAUAACCAGAUUCUGUGCCCCUCUAAUAGGCUGGUCCACAAAACCCGCCCACUGCAGCAAGCUAAACCCACCAUACAAUAAAAAUUCAACAGCAUGACAUGGCAAUUUUAUCAUUAUCUAGCCUAUCAAAGCAAACAACAGUUUAUACAUUUUCAACACAAAUACCAAUUCAGCCAUUCAUGCCAAUAUUGCCAUAAGCCAAUCAAUUAGAACCAUAAAUUCACAAUACAUCAAAUGGUCUCCAAUUACUCUAUUUUCAAAGCCAUCAUUCAAUUUCAAGACAAUUUAUAAAAUCAUUUCAUUUAAACACAUUUUGUUUAUAAAACCUAAAAAUUAACCAUUUAAACUCAUUUUUCAUAAAAUUCACAAAAUCGAAUAAAAAGACCACUUUAGAUAAUUAAAAUGAUGAUAAGGUUACUCACUAUUUCGGGAGUCAAAUUUUUAGAGUACUCCGACUAUUGAUCCUCCGGUACAAUUUCUUUGCCCUUAUCGGAGGAUUCACCACAUAAACAUAAUGCACAAUCAAGCAAUUUACCACAUUGGUGCUAAACCGUUAUAAAACUAUAUGGAUGCAUGAAAUGGAAUGCAAAUUGUUCGGAUUAUCGUCUAAACAUGGUGUUCUACACAAAUUCAAUUGUGUAACUAAAACGGUAUUGGCCUAAUUCAAUCUAUCACUCGAUUAAUUGGCCAAUAUAUCUAAUUCAACUCCAAUUAACUCCAUUUUUCUUCCAAUUCUCCAAACCAUCAAACACAAGUCAAAUAGCAUAAAAUUUAGCAAAAUUAUCUUCACAUUUUCUCUUGGGAAUUUCGGCCAUGGUAGGUGCAUCAACUCUAUGAUUUUUCCUACUUGAUUUUUUCACUGUAAUUCAUCAUUUCCUAACCAAUUCACUUGAAAUAAAAUCAAAUCCACCAUACACACUCUACAUGGAAAAUUCACCCAAUGAUGGGUAAUGGGAGUAAGUGAAUUUUUCUUGUUGGCUUUUCAUGCUACACAUCACUAACUAACUAAAAACACUAAAAUACAUUGAAAUCUAACCAAAUCAAGCAUCAAAACCUCCCUCUAAGUGUUCAGCCAACAAGGGAUUCAUCAUGAUUUCAUGUGAUUCAACCAUGGAAAAUAAGAAAAAAUGCUUAAGAAAGAGAGAUCUCAAGCUUAAAUUGAAAAAUCUUACUUUUUUUCACUUGUUUCCUUGAAUUUUCACACUUUUCCCUUGAAUAUUUCCACCUAGGGUUUUGUUCUUCCUUUUUCUUGCUUCUCCUUGGU